CAAAUGUAUGUGGAUACAUAUAAUAUAACUCGCGUGUCAUUUAUGGUCGGUUACACCCAAAAAGAAGGGUAUACUAAAAGGGUGAAAAAUAAAAUUUAACUGUGUCAUUCUUUUGCGUAGUGCGUUGACAAUAUGUUGUCAAAUUUCUUCAUUUGUGCAACGGGAAGCGGAAAUGUUUAAAAAUCAUGAUUAAGCCAUACACAUGUUUGUCCGAUAAAUUCGUUUGAAAGAUGGACGCAAAACAGCCGAUGUCCUGCAAAUACUCUACAUA
Long non-coding RNA from Drosophila ficusphila, 271 nucleotides. RefSeq lists it as uncharacterized. The record is from RefSeq and is a predicted model, not a curated record. Lineage: Eukaryota; Metazoa; Arthropoda; Insecta; Diptera; Drosophilidae. The transcript is spliced from 3 exons.